GUCCACGCCCUAAACGAUGUCAACUGGUUGUUGGAAGAGUGAUCUUUCAGUAACGAAGCUAACGCGAGAAGUUGACCGCCUGGGGAGUACGGCCGCAAGGUUAAAACUCAAAGAAAUUGACGGGGACCCGCACAAGCGGUGGAUGAUGUGGAUUAAUUCGAUGCAACGCGAAAACCUUACCUACCCUUGACAUGGUCGGAAUCCUGAAGAGAUUUGGGAGUGCUCGAAAGAGAGCCGAUACACAGGUGCUGCAUGGCUGUCGU
This 263-nucleotide ribosomal RNA is filed under the name uncultured bacterium. RNAcentral describes it as "partial 16S ribosomal RNA". It matches the Rfam family "Bacterial small subunit ribosomal RNA", at positions 793 to 1055 of the family's 1533-position model. The record is from RNAcentral.